GCUUGGGUGGCUCAGUUGGUUGAGCAUCUGACUUCAGCUCAGGUCAUGAUCUCAUGGUCUGUGAGUUCGAGCCCCAUGUCGGGCU
RNAcentral lists this transfer RNA (85 nucleotides) under Felis catus (domestic cat). It matches the Rfam family "tRNA". Rfam says of the family: Transfer RNA (tRNA) molecules are approximately 80 nucleotides in length. Their secondary structure includes four short double-helical elements and three loops (D, anti-codon, and T loops). Further hydrogen bonds mediate the characteristic L-shaped molecular structure. tRNAs have two regions of fundamental functional importance: the anti-codon, which is responsible for specific mRNA codon recognition, and the 3' end, to which the tRNAs corresponding amino acid is attached (by aminoacyl-tRNA synthetases). tRNAs cope with the degeneracy of the genetic code in two manners: having more than one tRNA (with a specific anti-codon) for a particular amino acid; and 'wobble' base-pairing, i.e. permitting non-standard base-pairing at the 3rd anti-codon position. Lineage: Eukaryota; Metazoa; Chordata; Mammalia; Carnivora; Felidae. The record is from Rfam by way of RNAcentral. RNAcentral also lists the same sequence under 2 other names.